Molecule: long non-coding RNA, 1516 nt
Organism: Brachypodium distachyon (stiff brome)
Lineage: Eukaryota; Viridiplantae; Streptophyta; Magnoliopsida; Poales; Poaceae
Exons: 2
Source: RefSeq, a predicted model, not a curated record
CACUCGUUUGUCAUCGUACGGUUCUACCCCACGUCUAUUUUCUGGGGAAAAAAAAGCGUAUUCCUUUCUCCUCCGAAGGACCUCUCGCAUGGAGUAUUUCCUUCCCAGCGGACCUCGUGCGCAUCGAACCGAUCGCCUCGAUCUCGUUCUUCGAGCAUCGGCCAGCUUUCUCCCUGAUACGGCCCUCAAAUCCUCUGAACUCGUCUGCCUGUGGUGCCAUGCCUGACGCAGUGACGCAGCAGCGGCGAGGAGGACCUCGGCGAGACGCCCAUCCAUGAUGAAGCAGCAGCGGCGAACAGAACCAUCAAAUUGACUGAGGGGAAAUGAUCAGUGGGCAUAGAGGAACUUGCAUGUGGGAGAAAUCGAGCCAAAGCUCACUGAUGGCAGAGAUCGAGGCGGCGACGCCGUGGUCGGAGUCAGGGAAGAAGAGGCCCUGUUUCUGCCUCCUUGUCGUCCAUGGCUUUCUGGAAGAUUAGUCCUUAUGCUGAUGAUGAAUCACAAAUAUGAAAGGAAUCGAAUCAAUGAAGUGCAGUCCGGCGCCAGCGGCUCCCGCGGACGGACGGAGGCACCGUGCGAGGAGCCAAGUCGAGGAACUGCAGGUUGAUACUGGUGUUUCAGUUGCGGACAAACGAAGACAAUAGUCGACGAACUGCAAGCAUGUGCUCGCCUGCCGUCUCCAGGUCUGGGCGUGCCGCGUGCCCGCCGCUGCACCGGCGAGGCCGUUGGAGCCAUGGCAGCGACUCAGCUCUGCUCCAUCUUUGAUUUCAGAUGUAAACAUUGAUUUUGCACGGAAGGGCGUCGGGUGUUACGGAAUCCUAUUUUCAACUUAUUUUUACAGCAGAAAAGCACGCGCAGCAGAGGAUGCCACGGAACUGCACGAUGCGUGCCACGUCUCCCCGGAGCACCGAUCGGAGCAAACUCGGGAAGCAGGGCAAGCCGCCCCAGGGCCGGGCCUGCUGCCAGGGGAAAGCAAUGGAUAAUUACCUGGGCCGCUUUGGUUCAAAUUGCAGAAGUCACUCAUUAUGCUGCUCCAUUUGUUUCUAAUCUGCAGUUGAAUUUCAAUAAAAACCUCUGCAUAAAAAUGUUUUUCCGUACAUAUGGGUGACCAAGGAAGUAUAUGACUGUGUUCAAGGCGGAGGCUUCAAUUCGAAGCUGCGGCGUCAGCAGUUUAAGUAGCCGUCAGCAGUGUGGGUAUUUUAUGCUUGUUCAGUGAUCUUGCACGCCAGCCAUGAUCAUUUGUUUUUAGAAUAACAAUGGCAAGUUAGGAAUGGUUCUUGACUCUUUCCAGUAAUAUUACGUGUGGUUAGUGUUUAUUGCAGGGAGGACGAUGUGGCAUCUAUGGAGGCAACUGCACUGAUUGGGUUGUCAGUAUUUAGGUAUGCCACAUGUAUGAUCUCUGUAUGGGUUAAUGAUGUUGCGUGAAAUAAAUUAGAAAGAAUGGAUGGUACUGUAUUACCGCUCUGGCUCACCAUCUUCACUGACACUGAUAGUGUUAUAAAAUUGUUGGUCUAAUUCA